UAGGGAAUCUUCCGCAAUGGGCGAAAGCCUGACGGAGCAACGCCGCGUGAGUGAUGAAGGUCUUCGGAUCGUAAAACUCUGUUAUUAGGGAAGAACAAAUGUGUAAGUAACUAUGCACGUCUUGACGGUACCUAAUCAGAAAGCCACGGCUAACUACGUGCCAGCAGCCGCGGUAAUACGUAGGUGGCAAGCGUUAUCCGGAAUUAUUGGGCGUAAAGCGCGCGUAGGCGGUUUCUUAAGUCUGAUGUGAAAGCCCACGGCUCAACCGUGGAGGGUCAUUGGAAACUGGGAAACUUGAGUGCAGAAGAGGAAAGUGGAAUUCCAUGUGUAGCGGUGAAAUGCGCAGAGAUAUGGAGGAACACCAGUGGCGAAGGCGACUUUCUGGUCUGUAACUGACGCUGAUGUGCGAAAGCGUGGGGAUCAAACAGG
RNAcentral lists this ribosomal RNA (429 nucleotides) under Fusobacteriota bacterium. RNAcentral describes it as "Fusobacteria bacterium partial 16S ribosomal RNA". It matches the Rfam family "Bacterial small subunit ribosomal RNA", at positions 355 to 776 of the family's 1533-position model. Lineage: Bacteria; Fusobacteriati; Fusobacteriota. The record is from RNAcentral.